Molecule: long non-coding RNA, 2027 nt
Organism: Protopterus annectens (West African lungfish)
Lineage: Eukaryota; Metazoa; Chordata; Ceratodontiformes; Protopteridae
Exons: 3
Source: RefSeq, a predicted model, not a curated record
CAAAUGAGACCUCAGUUUAACAUGUCAUUGGAAGGAUGGUAUACACAAGAAUGCCACACUGCAGUGUCAGUAAAAGAAAAUGAAUCCUGUUACCUGGGGUGGGAAUAGACCCCAUAACCUUCUAAUCUUACAUUGUCAAAGUGUUUUUCAGAUAUAAAGAAGAACUGCAGUAUUGGCUUGUAAAUAUGAAAAGUAACUUCUGGGUGAAGCAAAGAAUAUACUGAGAAGGCAAAAUGCUGGUCUUCCGCUCUUAGAAAAUGUACUGGUGAUUAAAUUACUGCAGCACAUGAAGAGAGUUACUCAAUGAUCAGAAUGUGUUCUUAUACUCCUUUCAAGAAACUAGCAAGUACCAACACUCAGACCUCUCCACUUUCCCUUUAGAGGAAUUUUCCUAUUUUCAGGCUUGACUCAAGUCUCCACAGAAUUUUUUGCAUCCCCCUCAUCACAUUUGAUUUUUGAAGCUGUCUAGUACAAAGAAAACCACAUUACAUGAUCAACAAAUUUAUGGCACCAAUAAUUUAAAGAAAAUGAACAUGGAUCUUAGAUCUCCCUUUUUUAGAAGCAAAUAUAAAUGACUUUCUGUGGUAGAAUUUUGUGAUAUAAUUUGUUAAAGUUUACAGAAUUUACAUUGUCUGUUUGAUAAUGUGAUUAUAUGUUUCCAUCAUUUUGUUACACUGCUUUUAAAACAUGUCUGAGUAAUAUCCCACAUUCCUACGCAAAGCAGGAAGAGGUAUGUUCCAUUUGGUAUUCAAAUGUUAUACUAAUGAGAUGGCCACAUAUUUAUGUGGCUGUUCCUACUUUUCAUGGACCUUUGUACCUAUUUUAUGCAUCUGCAGGUAAAGAGGUAUGCCGACACUUACUAUUUAUUCAAAGCAAGUACUUCCACACAUGUUAUUUUUACACUUGUCUUUUGAAAUCACAAGUAGAACUCUAACUGCUAUACAAGAAACAAUAGUAACAUUUUUUUGCUGUUGAUUUUUCAUUCUAUGUUUGAUAAAACUAGUAAUACUUUAAAAGUCACAUUUGAAUUGGUGCUGUGUUUUGAGAAAUAUUUCACCUUACUGUUUUUGUACUCCAAAAAAUCACAUUAUAGAGAUAAUCUCACAGCUAUUUCAAAAGCAUAUCUGUUGCAGAAAUUCCAGUUAUGUUUGUUAGUUGAGUUGAGCGCAGGUUAUUAAGUAUUUCAGAUGAAAGUCUGAUGUGUACAGAGAAGACAAGAGGCAAGUUGAACAUCACGGGAUAGUUUUCCAAUAUAACUUUAGUUUAGGUGAGAUACCAUUAUUUGUUAUAAGGGCCUGUGGGUUCUUAAUACACUGAGUGGCAAUGUUUUUGAAACCUCUCUUAACCUUAUUGUAAAAUAAAACUUUUGUAUCUAAUUCAAGUCAUACACUGUUACCACCAAGGCAAAAUAUUUCAUAUCAUAAGAUAUCACAAUGAAUUUUGCUAUUUUCAUACUUAGUUAUAUACCUAAAGGAAUGUUUUAUAUUAUUAGUGUUACUAAUCUCAUUAAUAAAACCAAACUGGUAAUGAUUAUUAAUAAUCUAAAAGCGACAUCUUGAUGAACUUACUGAACUACUAUCAUUAAAUGAAUCGCUCUGUUUUGCAAAUAUUAUGUAGACAGCAAACAAAGACACAGAAUAAUUAGGCUGGCAAUCUUUUACUGAGUUGCUAUAAUGACUAAAGGAAUGCCAGCUGUAAUUAUAAGCAAACGGAUAAGGUAAUCAUAAGGGGUGUGCAUUUUGAGGGUGGUGGGGGUGAGGAGUCUAGUGAUAUGUUACUGUUCUUUAACUCAUGACUGAAAUGUUUUUGUAUUGUUUAGAUAUUCAAUAUGUUAAACGCACCUAAGGGAAUCUAGUUAUUUAAAAGGAACUGCAUAAAUUACAAUAAACCCUAAUAAUAUGCUCUGUCCAAGAAGCUAUUUUCUAAUUGCUAAGCAUGGAAUAUGGCAAAAUCCAACUUACAGAAGAUGUGAACACCUAGAAGCCCUAAGAGACUUCACAGUAAAACCUAGUUGUGUUUGCUCUUGG